AGAUUUGAAAUGAGUAUGGUUUGAUAUACACUUGAUUUACACAGAUAUUUAUCCUUUGUUUUAAUUUAAACUUUCAAAAUUUGACUUGCAUGUUGAUAUUGUAAUUUGGCUCCCAAUAUUUUCAGAAUGACGGGUAUGAGAAUAAUUUUCUAAUUUCUGUGAGAAAGAUGAAAUUGUGACUAAAAAUUAAGACUAAGGUUGACGGCUUUGUUCAUUUCUAGUUUAAUAUCUAUGAUUUACUGCAUUACCUGUUGCUUUGCGUUGUACCGUGUAGGAUUUUCGUCCAAAAUCAAUAAUGGUCCAAUGAAUUUCAGUAGGCAGUAGAAUAUCUAGGAGAUUUUAUUUUCUCAUUAUUACAGUUUGUUUGCAGUUUUGAGGUAAAGAUCAAUAAAACGAUACCCACAGUCAGCUUUCUGUUUAAGCAUGACAGUACAGGUCAUGUUAUUCUGUGUUUGUGAAACAUGGACUGAGAAGUUUCAGUUUAUAA
RNAcentral lists this unclassified non-coding RNA (487 nucleotides) under Hevea brasiliensis (rubber tree). The record is from RNAcentral. Lineage: Eukaryota; Viridiplantae; Streptophyta; Magnoliopsida; Malpighiales; Euphorbiaceae.